This 718-nucleotide long non-coding RNA is filed under the name Nicotiana benthamiana. RNAcentral's name for it is "long non-coding RNA (NBEN_LNC038556)". The record is from RNAcentral. Lineage: Eukaryota; Viridiplantae; Streptophyta; Magnoliopsida; Solanales; Solanaceae.
AUAUGAACCUAAUCCAAGGCUCGGAUCCCCAACCAGAUAUAGAAAACACCAAAGUAUACUUCAAAUAACUUAGAAACUCUAAAACCUUCGAGACACCAACUUUCAAUAAUAAGCGCCGAAACGCUCCUGGUCCACCCGAAAUUCAAUCCAAACAUAUGCCAAAAUUCAAAAGCAUCCUAGAAAUUUCGAUAUCGAGGUCGUUUACUCGAAGUGUUGACCUAAGUCAAACAUGGUCACCUUAGACCACUACUAUGGAACUAAGUGUUCCGAAUUCAACUCGGACCUUUCCAAAACCAUAUCAACCAUCCCCCUAGGUCAUAAAAUAAUAAAAGCACAUACAUAAAGUCUUAAAUUGGGGAGGAGAGAUCUAGUGCUGUAUUUUGUCCGGGCCCGGGCCUAAACGGGCUUCGCGGCCGGGCUUCGCGGGCCGGGCUUCGUGGGCCUGGGUUUCGCGGGCCUGUAGCAGAGAUCUAGUGCUGAAUUUUGUCCGGGCCCGGGCCUAAACGGGCUUCGCGGGCCGGCCUUCGUGGGCCUGGGCUUCGCGGGCCUGGGCUCUGGCGGUCCCGGGCUUCGUGGGCUCAAUGGGUGAGACCAGCCCGUGACGGGCCAAAAGCCCAAGCCCAUGUGGUCCUGGGCUUAGCGGGUCGGGCCUCGUGGGCCUGGCGGGCUUUUUUGUAAUUUUUUUAAGGUAGUUAUUAGUAUAGUAUAUAAUAUAAUA